RNAcentral lists this unclassified non-coding RNA (346 nucleotides) under soil metagenome. Its description in RNAcentral is "partial contains 5.8S ribosomal RNA, internal transcribed spacer 2, and large subunit ribosomal RNA". The stretch from base 1 to 120 matches the Rfam family "5.8S ribosomal RNA", at positions 35 to 154 of the family's 154-position model. The record is from RNAcentral.
GAUGAAGAACGCAGCGAAAUGCGAUACGUAAUGUGAAUUGCAGAAUUCAGUGAAUCAUCGAGUCUUUGAACGCACAUUGCGCCCCCUGGUAUUCCGGGGGGCAUGCCUGUCCGAGCGUCAUUGCUGCCCUCAAGCCCGGCUUGUGUGUUGGGUCUCGUCCCCCUUCCCGGGGGGACGGGCCCGAAAGGCAGCGGCGGCACCGCGUCCGGUCCUCGAGCGUAUGGGGCUUUGUCACCCGCUCUGUAGGCCCGGCCGGCGCUUGCCGAUCAACCAAAACUUUUUUCCAGGUUGACCUCGGAUCAGGUAGGGAUACCCGCUGAACUUAAGCAUGUCAAUAAGCGGAGGA